UUUUCCAUUUCUUUGUUCUUGGUAGGGUUGAUCUUUCUCUCCUCUCGUGAGUGUAAGGUCUUUUGGUGGGCAUCAGACCCACUUUCUCAGAAGAAGCAAUCUUUCUUUGCUCAGUGUCAAUGAUACCUAUCUUCUAUAUGCCUCAGUCUCUAUGUUGGUAUUCUAGACCAGAGAGCUGGUUAUCUCACCCUUUUGUUGCCCUUACCUCCUGCCCUCCCUGCUGAGUAAGGAUGUUAACUGGCAAAUAGGGUGUGUGCCAUAUGCAAAACAAUUUUGCUGUCCAGCCAGAAGAGGAACACUUCACCAGCUUGCUAUUUGAAAGACAAGGAGAGGACUGUUAAAAAGUUUGCUUAUAGCAUUCUUAGUGCCCCAAGAAAUCCUGCAGAACACAGGUGCCUUUUGUGUCUCCUGGGAGCUUUGCCAUGGAACAUUUUCACUGUGCUACCUCAGUCCAGCCCCAAGGCCCUUCUCAGUUGGACUCUUGGUUCCCAGGAGCUUUGGGAGGAGAUGCUUUACCAGAGGCCCAGGCUAUGCUCCUGCCACAACUGGCCAAGCCCAUGGCAUCCCCAAGCCCAGCUUCCCCCCCCCUGUUCCUUCAUCUCUGGAUCUGCUUUAACUGGAUGCCCUUGGUGCCUCCACUAACUUUUUUUCAGUGACCAGCACCAAAGUCCAGGGGAAUAAAAUGGAUCAGAGCCAGGCCAAGAAUCCAAAGACCAGGAUGCAAUUGUCUCAGGAGCAGCUGGGGUUCCUCAAGAACAUCCUUGACGUGUCCAAAUACCUCACUCCAGAGAAGGAGCAUGAGUUGGCUGAGCUGUUAGGACUAAGCUACAAACAGAUCAAGACUUGGUUCCACAAUGAGAGACUGAGGGCAAAGCAAUCACAGAUGUCCACACGUGACCAGGAGCUUCAACUGCUUCAGCUUGGACCAGCAGCUGGACCUCAAGACCUCAGUCUCGCUGCUUAAUUUCUUGAGCACCCAAUGAAUAAUCUUCCUAAAAUCUAUUCAGGAUGGAGCAACCAGAUCUCAGAGGACUGUCUCCAGGAUUUUGGGGAGGUACCAUUUCCUUCCCAGUUGGCACUCCAAACCCCUUACCCUGCCCAAACCUUGGAUGGGACCUUAGGGCAUGCUGGUUGGAACUCUCCCAUGAGACCACAGACCCCUGAGGCUUCUUGUGCCCCAUCUGCCACACCUCCCCUCUAGCAUGGAGCAGAGUCCAGUUGGAGCUGGACUCAGAGGCUCAUGAUGGCUCAGAGGCUGGUUCUGCUCCCCAGUCAUCCCCAGAGGCUAGUCAUGUUCCCUGGGAUUAACCUUCCCCCACUCCCAGAUCAGUCCAGGAUUGUCUGCCACAUGAAAUGCCCCUUUCUUCUUAGUGCAUUCUUCUCUACUGGCUUUCUACUACUUCCUGAGGGUAGUUUUUGGGUGGGCAGCUGCUUUCUGGGGAGGAGUGGAGAGUUUUUUCCCCUCUGAGCUGCUCCUAAGGGGCUUACAAAGCUCUACUUUGGUUUGGUGCCAAAAAUCAGUGAUUUUCCAAAUCUGGAUAGAAAUGACCUGGCAGCCAAGGAGCAAAGGUGGGGAAAAGGAACAGACAAGACGGGGCUUUGGAUUUUCUGUCUUUGAACUCUAUUGUUACCUGUAGUGAGGCUUGCUAAAUAUAGGGAGGGCAACCACCCAGUCAAAACAGCUCUUUCCCUCCUCCUGACCCUCUAGGGACUCUAAUGCUGAGAAUCUCCAGGGCAGAAGUUCUUAAACCUUGUUGUACAGGGCACUUUUUUUUUGGCAGCCUGGCAAAACCUAUAGACCCCCUUCUUUUGAAAUGUAUAAAUUAAAGUAUAUCGAAUUGCAAAGGAAACUAGUUAUAUUGGAGCCAUUAUUAAAGUACUAGAAGUGGA
Long non-coding RNA from Monodelphis domestica (gray short-tailed opossum), 1890 nucleotides. RefSeq lists it as uncharacterized. The record is from RefSeq and is a predicted model, not a curated record. NCBI's taxonomy places the organism in Eukaryota, Metazoa, Chordata, Mammalia, Didelphimorphia, Didelphidae.